RNAcentral lists this long non-coding RNA (4062 nucleotides) under Salmo salar (Atlantic salmon). RNAcentral describes it as "lncRNA (ENSSSAG00000119718.1)". The record is from RNAcentral. Lineage: Eukaryota; Metazoa; Chordata; Actinopteri; Salmoniformes; Salmonidae.
UCCCAGUUGGUCAGAAAUUUACAUACACUCAAUUAGUAUUUGGUAGCAUUGCCUUUAAAUUGCAUAACUUGUGUGAAAUGUUUCGGGUUGCCUUCCACAAGCUUCCCACAAUAAGUUGGGUGAAUUUUGGGCCAUUCCUACUGACAGAGCUGGUGUAACUGAGUCAGGUUUGUAGGCCUCCUUGCUUGCACAUGCUUUUUCAGUUCUGCCCAUACAUUUUCGAUAGGAUUGAGGUCAGGGUUUUGUGACGGCCACUCCAAUACCUUGACUUUGUUGUCCUUAAGCCAUUUUGCCACAACAUUGGAAGUAUGCUUGGGGUCAUUGUCCAUUUGGAAGACCCAUUUGCGACCAAGCUUUACUUCCUGACUGAUGUCUUGAGAUGUUGCUUCAUGAUGCCAUCUAUUUUGUGAUGUGCAGCAGUCCCUCCUGCAGCAAAGUACCCCCACAACAUGAUGCUGCCACCACCCUGCUUCAUGGUUGGGAUGGUGUUCUUCAGCUUGCAAGCAUCCCCCUUUUUCCUCCAAACAUAACGAUGGUCAUUAUGGCCAAACAUUUCUGUUUUUGUUUCAUCAGACCAGAGAACAUUUCUCCAAAAAGUACAAUCUUUGUCCCCAUGUGCAGUUGCAAACUGUAGUCUGGUUUUUUUAUGGCGGUUUUGGAGCAGUGGCUUCUUCCUUGCUGAGUGGCCUUUCAGGUUAUGUCAAUAUAGGACUUGUUUUACUGUGGAUAUAGAUACUUUUAUACCUGUUUCCUCCAGCAUCUUUACAAGGUCCUUUGCUGUUGUUCUGGGAUUAUUUUGCACUUUUCGCACCAAAGUACGUUCAUCUCUAGGAGAGAGAACGCGUCGCCUUCCUGAGCGGUAUGACGGCUGCGUGGUCCCAUGGUGUUUAUUCUUGCAUACUAUUGUUUGUACAGAUGAAUGUGGUAACCUCAGGCGUUUGGAAAUUGCUCCCAAGUAUGAACCAGACUUGUGGAGGUCUACAAUUUUAUUCUCUGAGGUCUUGGCUGAUUUCUUUUGAUUUUCCCAUGAUGUCAAGCAAAGAGGCACUGAGUUUGAAAGUAUGCCUUGAAAUACAUCCACAGGUACACCUCCAAUUGACUCAAAUGAUGUCAAUUAGCCUAUCAGAAGGUUCUAAAGCCAUGACAUCAUUUUCUUGAAUUUUCUAAGCUGUUCAAAGGCACAGUCAAUUUAGUGUAUGUAAACUUCUGACCCACUGGAAUUGUGAUGAAGUGAAUUAUAAGUGAAAUAAUCUGUCUGUAAACAACUGUUGUAAAAAUUACUUGUGUCAUGCACAAAGUAGAUGUCCUAACGGGGCCCCGUUUCGGCAGCAAAGGGUUCAGGCCAAUUGGCAAAUAGGUAUUGAAGCCCAGCGAUUAUCUGAUGGAUUUCUUCAGCUAGCUGGAAGAUGGGCCUAGUUCGAGGCUAACUCCAGGCUAACUGGUGCUUGCUUCGGGACAGAAACCCCCUCGGACGGUUACGUCGGUAGACCAGUCGUGAUAGAUUGGCGGGGUUCCGUGUCGACAGAAAAGGGUCCAGGCCAACUGGAAAAAGAGGCAAUUGAAGCCCAGGAAUUGCUUGAUAGAUCUCUUCGGCUAGCCGGGAGAAUGGGCCUAGCUCGAGGCUAGCUCCAGGCUAACUGGUGCUUGCUUCGGGACAGAGACGUUAGCCAGGAGUAGCCACUCGGAUAGCAGCUAGCUAACUGCGAUGAUCCAGAGUAAAGGUUUAGAGCUUGCGACAGGAAUCGGGAGAUAUGGUGGAGAAAAGCAAUCCGAUAUGCUCUGGGUUGAUAUAAUGCAGAAACCUCAAUGAUCUAACCCUCUACAUGGCUCUUCAACAGGAACAUGUUGGUAACAAUCAAAAUAGUUCUAGAACACGUUAAACGGUGAGUCAUGAUUUAUUAAUAGGCGGUUAUGAUUCAACAUAAAAACCACGUUUCAUGAUAUUCUCCGAGGGACCAUCCAUUGAUGGCUGGUCUGUGGCAUCAGGUCAAUCUUUGAAAGUAGCAGCCAUGAACAUCAGAAAGACAAACAUAAAAUCUCAGACAAAACAGAAAAUGUAUAAUACUGUAUAACAACAACAGAAUAGCUGGUGUCAUGAAUGGUGGUAAUGCUUCAAACCAAAAAGUAUAUCCACAGGAAUGCUGCAGGUCUUCGAACCUCUGGGCUGUCUGCCCAUAAGUAGACAUUAAAGAGAAAACAACAUUUCAGAGAGGCCUAACAGGUGAGGCCUAACAGAGAGGCCUAACAGGCCUAGCAACAGACAUCUAUGUACCAGUGGUGCUGGUCCAAGUCGAGGUGUCAUAAAAUAAAUGUAUCCCUCUCUCCAACGUUAAAAACCCUCCUUGUACUGUAAAAUUAUAUAAACACCAGCCUCAACAAAAAUGUACUACCAUAAAUAACAACUGUAAGAACCCUGUGUUUAUAUAUGUGGAUAUUGACUUCACCGCUUCAGCAUAGUUUUGUGGCAUAGUCAAUGCCAUGCAGGGCUAACGGGCCAGUAGGUUGAGGGUUUGCUGACCCCUACGGUCAAGCUCACUCUCCCUGCCUGCCUCAUGUACAAAUUACCUCCACUAACCUGUACCCCCGCUCACUGACUCGGCACCGGUACCCCCUGUAUAUAGCCUCGUUAUUGUUAUGUUAUUGUGUUACUUUUUAUUAUCAUUGUUAUUUUUGGUUAAGGGCUUGUAGUAAGCAUUUCACAGUAAGGUCCACACUUGUUGUAUUCGGUGCAUGUGACAAAUAAAGUUUGAUUUGAUUACACUACAAUCAGAGCCGGCUAAAGGCAAUGAUCAGCUAGGAGGAAAUGAGAUUUUCAACAUUUUGAUGCUAGUUUGCAUCCUGCAGAUCUGGAGAAACGAUCCACCUACCACUAUUGUCACUAUGGAUAGAGGACAGGAUAGAUAAUUGACUGGUAAAGAGUAGUGCAUAAGGGAGGUACCAAAACAUCUUUAUAGGGGAGGUGCAUGCAAGCAGAUGAGGAAAUGUGGCUAUAUGGAAGACAUUAUAUAGAAAAACCUGCAAAAUGUUGAACAUAAAAUUCACUAUUUUGGACAAGCACUCCAACCCCAGUAAAUUUCGAACAGUCCUAAAGCAGUUUUAAAGAGGACAUGUCUUUUUCCGAAGCACCAAAACGUGACUUUUUCCAAAUCCUCCUACAGAGUCACAUGCAGAGAAUUUGUUAGUACGUCCAACCAGUCUCACAACCGCAGACCACGUGUAACCACGCCAACCUAGGACCUCAACAGACAGCUUCUUCAUCUGCCGGAUCAUCGGGGGAGGGGGGGAUGCUGAGGAGUAUUUUGUCUGUAAUAAAGCCCUUUUGUGGGGAGAAACGUUGAAAUUGUUGUUUAUAUUUUUGUUCAGUAGAUUUGCAUACACUUCAGACAUAUAUACCCAACCAGACACGCCACAAUGGGUUUCUUCACUGUACCCAAACCAAAAACAGAUUUAAUGCGUCACUCAGUUAUAGAGCCAUGUCAUCAUGGAAUGCUCUGCCACCAGAGGUUAAUGUUUUUUAAAGCAAGUUUAGCUUUAAAAACACAGUUAAAAACAACCAAUUGUAUCAAAGCGCCUCUCCUCUUUCUAAAUCUCAUUUAACUGUACUGUAUAUAAGAAUAUGAAGUGUGUAAAUAGUACAACUUUUACUUUGAAUUUAAUGUCAUAUCUUAUGUGUGUUAUGUAUGUUUUAUGUGGACCCUCUGGAAGAGUAGCUGCUGCAUGUGGGGCGGCAGGUAGUCUAGUGGUUAGAGCGUUGGACUAGUAACCAAAAGGUUGCAAGAUUGAAUCCCCAAGCUGACAAGGUAAAAAUCUGUCAUUCUGCCCUUGAACAAGGGCAGAAUGACACUGUUCCUAGGCUGUCAUUGAAAAUAAGAAUUUGUUCUUAACUGACUUGCCUAGUGAAAUAAAAGGUUUUAAAAAAGUGCAGAAGCUUAUGGGGAUGCUAAUAAACUAAACUCUCUCUUGGUCUUCUUGGGCAUGCUCCUCCUUGGGCCUUCCAACAAACUUCUCUCUACCUCCUGCAUGGUCUUUUUUCACCCCCUUUCUUGGUCUUGGCGCCAUGUU